ACGCUCGACACCUACGGGAGGCAGCAGUGGGGAAUAUUGCACAAUGGGGGAAACCCUGAUGCAGCGACGCCGCGUGAGCGAAGAAGUAUUUCGGUAUGUAAAGCUCUAUCAGCAGGGAAGAAACUGACGGUACCUGACUAAGAAGCACCGGCUAAAUACGUGUCAGCAGCCGCGGUAAUCUGAGCGGGCUGGCAAGGC
RNAcentral lists this ribosomal RNA (198 nucleotides) under uncultured bacterium. RNAcentral's name for it is "partial 16S ribosomal RNA". It matches the Rfam family "Bacterial small subunit ribosomal RNA", at positions 328 to 539 of the family's 1533-position model. The record is from RNAcentral.